This 650-nucleotide ribosomal RNA is filed under the name uncultured Gammaproteobacteria bacterium. RNAcentral describes it as "bacterial SSU rRNA". It matches the Rfam family "Bacterial small subunit ribosomal RNA", at positions 28 to 675 of the family's 1533-position model. Lineage: Bacteria; Pseudomonadati; Pseudomonadota; Gammaproteobacteria. The record is from RNAcentral.
AUUGAACGCUGGCGGCAGGCCUAACACAUGCAAGUCGAACGGUAACAUUUCUAGCUUGCUAGAAGAUGACGAGUGGCGGACGGGUGAGUAAUGCUUGGGAACUUGCCUUUGCGAGGGGGAUAACAGUUGGAAACGACUGCUAAUACCGCAUAAUGUCUUCGGACCAAACGGGGCUUAGGCUCCGGCGCAAAGAGAGGCCCAAGUGAGAUUAGCUAGUUGGUAAGGUAAUGGCUUACCAAGGCGACGAUCUCUAGCUGUUCUGAGAGGAAGAUCAGCCACACUGGGACUGAGACACGGCCCAGACUCCUACGGGAGGCAGCAGUGGGGAAUAUUGCACAAUGGGGGGAACCCUGAUGCAGCCAUGCCGCGUGUGUGAAGAAGGCCUUCGGGUUGUAAAGCACUUUCAGUUGUGAGGAAAAGUUAGUAGUUAAUACCUGCUAGCCGUGACGUUAACAACAGAAGAAGCACCGGCUAACUCCGUGCCAGCAGCCGCGGUAAUACGGAGGGUGCGAGCGUUAAUCGGAAUUACUGGGCGUAAAGCGCACGCAGGCGGUUUGUUAAGCUAGAUGUGAAAGCCCCGGGCUCAACCUGGGAUGGUCAUUUAGAACUGGCAGACUAGAGUCUUGGAGAGGGGAGUGGAAUUCCAGGUG